This 24-nucleotide non-coding RNA is filed under the name Drosophila melanogaster (fruit fly). The record is from RNAcentral. RNAcentral also lists the same sequence under 7 other names. Lineage: Eukaryota; Metazoa; Arthropoda; Insecta; Diptera; Drosophilidae.
UGUAAACAUCCCCGACUGGAAGCC